RNAcentral lists this ribosomal RNA (253 nucleotides) under uncultured bacterium. Its description in RNAcentral is "partial 16S ribosomal RNA". It matches the Rfam family "Bacterial small subunit ribosomal RNA", at positions 524 to 776 of the family's 1533-position model. The record is from RNAcentral.
UACAGAGGUCCCAAGCGUUGUUCGGAUUCACUGGGCGUAAAGGGUGCGUAGGUGGUCGGGUAAGUCUGAUGUGAAAUCUCCGAGCUUAACUCGGAAAUGGCAUUGGAUACUAUUCGGCUGGAGGUUUGGAGGGGGGACUGGAAUUCUCGGUGUAGCAGUGAAGUGCGUAGAUAUCGAGAGGAACACCAGUGGCGAAGGCGAGUCCCUGGACAACACCUGACACUGAGGCACGAAAGCUAGGGGAGCAAACAGG